This 3303-nucleotide long non-coding RNA is filed under the name Sus scrofa (pig). Its description in RNAcentral is "lncRNA (ENSSSCG00030040332.1)". Lineage: Eukaryota; Metazoa; Chordata; Mammalia; Artiodactyla; Suidae. The record is from RNAcentral.
UUUUUUUUUUUUUUUUUUAAUUUUUUAACACACCUUUUAAAAAGUUUGAAGUAUAAUUGACAAGGUUGUGAUCAUGUGUGCUGUGCAACGAAGUGACUCCGUCACACACACACACACACACACACACACACACAUCCAUUCUCUUUCAGAUUUUUUGCCCACAUUGAUUAUUGCAGAAUAUUGGGUAGAGUUCUCUGUGCUGCCCAGCAGGUCCCCAUUGGCCAGAGUUCUCUGUGCUGCCCAGCAGGUCCCCAUUGGCCAGUCCUUCCGAGAACCUCAAUGUGCAUCCAGUCCCCAGGUUGCAGCCCAUCCCUCCCCUGCCACCUGUUCCCUUUGGUAGCCAUAGUUUUUCAAAGUCAUGCAUCUGGGAAAACACACCUUUCUAGCAACGGCUUCCUCAAAAGCAGAGGGAAGCAGUCCAGAGCUCCUGUCCCUGGUGCGUGCCUUUUGUGCCCUCUGCCUUUCGUUGCUUUUGGGGAAUAGAUCCAUCAGCUCUACUUUUUUUUUUUCCAAUUUGAAUGAAUAUUUCUCCAAUGAAGCUUCUCCUUCAACCCUCAACCAUGUUUCAGAAUCUCCAUUUUAUUUUAUUUUUUUAAUAUUUUUUUUUAUUUUCCCACUGUACAGCAAGGGGGUCAGGUUAUCCUUACAUGUAUACAUUAUAAUUACAUUUUUUCCCCCACCCUUUCUUCUGUUGCAACAUGAGUAUAUAGACAUAGUUCUCAAUGCUAUUCAGCAGGAUCUCCUUGUAAAUCUAUUCUAAGUUGUGUCUGAUAAUUCCAAGCUCUCGAUCCCUCCCACUCCCUCCCCCUCCCAUCAGGCAGCCACAAGUCUCUUCUCCAAGUCCAUAAUUUUCUUUUCUGAGGAGAUGUUCAUUUGUGCUGGAUAUUAGAUUCCAGUUAUAAGUGAUAUCAUAUGGUAUUUGUCUUUGUCUUUCGGGCUCAUUUCACUCAGUGUGAGAUUCUCUAGUUCCAUCCAUGUUGCUGCAAAUGGCAUUAUGUCAUUCUUUUUUAUGGCUGAGUAGUAUUCCAUUGUGUAUAUAUACCACAUCUUCCGAAUCCAAUCCUCUGUCGAUGGACAUUUGGGUUGUUUCCAUGUCCUGGCUCUUGUGAAUAGUGCUGCAAUGAACAUGCGGGUGCAUGUGUCUCUUUUAAGUAGAGUUUUGUCCGGAUAGAUGCCCAAGAGUGGGAUUGCGGGGUCAUAUGGAAGUUCUAUGGAUAGAUUUCUAAGGUAUCUCCAAACUGUUCUCCAUAGUGGCUGUACCAGUUUACAUUCCCACCAGCAGUGCAGUAGGGUUCCCUUUUCUCCACAGCCCCUCCAGCACUUGUUAUUUGUGGAUUUAUUAAUGAUGGCCAUUCUGACUGGUGUGAGGUGGUAUCUCAUGGUAGUUUUGAUUUGCAUUUCUCUUAUAAUCAGCGAGUGUGAGCAUUUUUUCAUGUGUUUGUUGGCCAUCUGUAUAUCUUCUUUGGAGAAAUGUCUAUUCAGGUCUUUUGCCCAUUUUUCCGUUGAUUGGUUUUUUUGCUGUUGAGUUGUAUAAGUUGCUUAUAUAUUCUAGAGAUUAAGCCCUUGUCAGUUGCAUCAUUUGAAACUGUUUUCUCCCAUUCUGUAAGUUGUCUUUUUGUUUUCUUUUUGGUUUCCUUUGCUGUGCAAAAGCUUUUCAGUUUGAUGAGGUCCCAUGGGUUUAUUUUUGCUCUAAUUUCUAUUGCUUUGGGAGACCGACCUGAGAAAAUAUUCAUAAUGUUGCAGAAUCUCCAUUUUGGAACAGACGAGCUGCUCUCACAAUUAGAAUUUUUAACCUAAAGGAGGGCAUUGACUCACUCCAACAGCAGAAGGUGGGGUUCACCACCGCCAGCACAUGUGCCUUUUCCACCUUUACAGCUGUGGUAGGUACCAUCCUGUCCUCAUCUUCCAGGUAAGAAACGAAGGCACAGUGAUGCGGAUGAACCGGUUCAUCACAUAGAAGUAGCACAAAGUAGAUUCAGACCCCGACUCCAGAGCCCACCCUCUUAACCCCUGCGCCAUACUCUAUGCACACAGCUCUGCGAGGUGUGUUUACUGUCAUUACAAGGCAGAGUUUUAAAUAUGCCUUUAAGAACCCAACAAAUACUAAGUACGACACGGACUUCGUACUGUACAUCGGGUAAUAUGCUGAUGAACAAAGUACCAUCCCUGCCCACAGAAUGGCCAGUGGUCAGAAGAUGUAAACAGCUAGGAACAUCAGAGAACCGUGCAAGCAGUACAAACCAAGGACUUCUGGAGUAAAGAGGUUCAGAGACUGUUUUAACUUGGAGUGGGAGAAAAAUCAGCCGUGCACACCCCUGGGGCUACAGCACUUCAGUGCCUCCUAUGAGACUGUGCCAUAUGGUGGGGACCAUGCUGGGCACAAGGGAUGGUUCUUACAGUGCGGUGGGCAUUGGGAGAUGUCAUCAGAUGAAUGCAUGCUUUUAGGUGGGAGAUGCUGAACUUGAAAGGGACAUGGUACCAUGGGAGUAUCUGAAAGACACUGGACUAACUUUGGAUGAGGCAGAGGUCGAGGAGAGUUCCAGAGAAAUGGCGACUGACAUGAGAGCUGACGGGUGAGGAGGCAUCAGCCAGCUAAGAGGAGCGUGCGUCCAGUGUAGGCAUGUGUGAACAUCACAGGGCUGGGGCAUGAGGACGUUAGAGGCAAAGUAGCAGCAUGUGCAAAUUUCCUGGGGUUAAAGAAGACACAGGGAGCCCUGGACGCAGCGGGUGAGCCUGUAUGGCAGAGAGGAAAGGGGAGCCAUGGAUUUUCCUCUUUGUAGGAAGAGCAGUGAACAUUCUUAAGGGGUUCGAAGAAGAUGGUCGACAUCCUCUGACUCGAGUUUUAAAGAUCCCUCUGGCUGCCGUGUAGAGUGGAUUGAAAGGAGCCAGGUGAGACUUGGAGUCACUGUGGUAGUUCAGAUGAAAGAUCACAUAGCACAGAUAACCUGUAAGCAUAUUUGUUUUGCUUUUGUUGUCUUGCACGGAAAGGUUUUGCUCUUUUACAAGCAAAAAAAACCAACCAACCAACAAACAAAAAUUCCAUUCGAGGAGUUCCCGUCAUGGCGCAGUGGUUAACGAAUCCGACUAGGAACCAUGAGGUUGCAGGUUCGAUCCCUGCCCUUGCUCAGUGGGUUAACCAUCUGGCGUUGCCAUGAACUGUGGUGUAGGUUGCAGAUGCGGCUCGGAUCCCGAGUUGCUGUGGCUCUGGCGUAGGCCAGUGGCUACAGCUCCGAUUAGACCCCUAGCCUGGGAACCUCCAUAUGCCGCGAGAGUGGCCCAAAGAAAUAGCAAAAAAAAAAAAAA